ACGGCGUAUAGUUUUUUUUCGAUAAGUAAAAGGAUGAAAUUGCCCCUGUUGUAUUAAAGAGACUUUCUUCGCAGACGUAUUUGAUCCUUUCAUGAUUUUUCAGAUUUCUUUAUAUAUUUGGAUAGUACUCCUCAAUAUGAAUGUGUGAGCGCAAACGGAAUGUAAUUUGGAAUUAUAACGAAGAAGUUAUAGAUGAGCAAAGACAUGGAUGAAAUUGUCAUUUAACCAUUAUUUGGAAGGCUCCAUAUUUACUGGAGCAUUAAUUUGAUGUGCCAUGUGUGUGGCUAUGAUUGGAGAAGGAAGAGAGAAAUGAGAGAAAGAAGGGGGUGCUGCCGAAUCAGGAGAUGGAAAAUAAGGGAAAUGAAGUAAGAGAGAAAGAGGGGAACCAGCUGGAUCUCCUUGGCCUGAUUUCCCUCUACGACCUGGCCCGGUUUUUGUAGAAAAUUUCUAACGCCAUCUCUGACGUUUCUCCAGUAAUUCACAGCGCAAGGCCACCUAAAAACAACUCAGAAUCAACCACUCUUUCAUUUCCACUCAAAUUCGACGAGAUUUGGCCUCAGGUUCGUACUGACAUGUCUGUGGGUUAUUCAGUGGCGAUCGAUCGUUUCUAAAGCUUAUUCCUUCCACCACCACCAUAAAAAGUCCUCCUUAAACCUCAUGAACAUGCCUCAAACAAGGUUGGGGGCGUCGGAGUUCGGUUCAAAGACGAAUCAAUGAACACCCAUUUAUGGGUUUUCGACGGAUCGAGGGUGAUUUUAGGUGUUUCCCAGGUGAAUUGGACUUCGUCCCAAGUAUGAAAGUUCUUCCCCUUAUUGUGCUCUACAUUCCUGUAAACUUUGGUAAUUUUUAGAAAUGGGUGAAAUUUUCUAAUGAGUCUAGGCGGCACGUGGCCUGAGGACCCACUUGACCUUUUAGGCUAAAUUUGAUACACCGAUUCCAUACGUGACAUCCGAUGGACAAAAUUCCAUCGUUCGAACAUAACAUAGUUUCGUUAGGAUCCGUCUCUUGAUCAUUAUAACCAUUGACGAUCCAACCUUUGGAUCGUCACCAAACUUUAAUGCGUUAUAGCAUGCAAUAUUUGAGGACAUUAGAAACUAACGGAUUGGGAAUCCAACGUACGGAUCUUGAUGAAUUGAAAUUUUAAGUUUGUAAAACUAAUUGUUGACCGCCACCUAAUUAUAGCAAUUGGCGAAGAUUCGAUUGUUGGAUCAUUCCAAAAUUUUAAGAUAUUGUUCUAUGAUAGGAGCAUAUUUAUGCGACUUAGUUAGCUUGUUUCUUGGCAUUUAUGUUGUUAGUUCGUAGUUAUUCUAGUAUUUUAAACUAUUUUCGUGUGUUUGUAGGUCCAAAGGGUUAAUGUGGCAAAGAAGUGCAUUUUGGAGCAUUUUUAGGCAUGGAAUGGAUGGCAUAUGCUUGGAGCAAAAGGAAUGGACGAAAUUUGAAGUUUGUGCAUCAUCCUCUCCCUAUAAAUAACCAUUUUAGCACACUCAUUUCACCCAACACACACAUUCACCUACCACUACAUCUACUUAUUUCACC
Molecule: long non-coding RNA, 1536 nt
Filed under: Malus domestica (apple)
Lineage: Eukaryota; Viridiplantae; Streptophyta; Magnoliopsida; Rosales; Rosaceae
Description: long non-coding RNA (MDOM_LNC006845)
Source: RNAcentral